Molecule: ribosomal RNA, 1295 nt
Filed under: uncultured bacterium
Lineage: Bacteria
Description: bacterial SSU rRNA
Rfam family: Bacterial small subunit ribosomal RNA
Source: RNAcentral
AUGAUGAGAGUAGCGAACGGGCGAGUAACGCGUGAGUAACCUACCCUAUGCAGGGGGAUAACAUCGGGAAACCGGUGCUAAUACCGCAUAACACCAUUGAAUCGCAUGGUUUGGUGGUCAAAGCUGCGGCGGCAUAGGAUGGACUCGCGUCCAAUUAGCUAGUUGGUAGGGUAAUGGCCUACCAAGGCGACGAUUGGUAGCCGAACUGAGAGGUUGGUCGGCCGCAUUGGGACUGAGACACGGCCCAGACUCCUACGGGAGGCAGCAGUGGGGAAUAUUGCGCAAUGGGGGAAACCCUGACGCAGCAACGCCGCGUGAAGGAUGAAGGCUUUCGGGUUGUAAACUUCUUUGAUCGGGGACGAAUAAUGACGGUACCCGAGGAACAAGCCACGGCUAACUACGUGCCAGCAGCCGCGGUAAUACGUAGGUGGCGAGCGUUGUCCGGAAUUACUGGGUGUAAAGGGCGUGUAGGCGGGAUGUCAAGUCAGAUGUGAAAUACCACGGCUUAACUGUGGGGGUGCAUUUGAAACUGUUUGGCUUGAGUGCAGGAGAGGAAAGUGGAAUUCCUAGUGUAGCGGUGAAAUGCGUAGAGAUUAGGAGGAACACCAGUGGCGAAGGCGGCUUUCUGGACUGUAACUGACGCUGAGGCACGAAAGCGUGGGUAGCGAACAGGAUUAGAUACCCUGGUAGUCCACGCCGUAAACGAUGGAUACUAGGUGUAGGGGGUAUCGACCCCCCCUGUGCCGGAGUUAACGCAAUAAGUAUCCCGCCUGGGGAGUACGUGCGCAAGCAUGAAACUCAAAGGAAUUGACGGGGACCCGCACAAGCAGCGGAGCAUGUGGUUUAAUUCGAAGCAACGCGAAGAACCUUACCAGGGCUUGACAUGCCGAUGACAGAUACAGAGAUGUAUCCUCCCUUCGGGGCAUUGGACACAGGUGGUGCAUGGUUGUCGUCAGCUCGUGUCGUGAGAUGUUGGGUUAAGUCCCGCAACGAGCGCAACCCUUAUUUUUAGUUGCCAUUAUUAAGUUAGGCACUCUAAAGAGACUGCCGGGGUAACUCGGAGGAAGGUGGGGACGACGUCAAAUCAUCAUGCCCCUUAUGUCCUGGGCUACACACGUGCUACAAUGGCCGGAAACAGAGGGCAGCUAAGCCGCGAGGUGGAGCUAAUCCCAGAAACCCGGUCCCAGUUCGGAUUGUGGGCUGCAACUCGCCCACAUGAAGUCGGAGUUGCUAGUAAUCGCGAAUCAGCACGUCGCGGUGAAUGCGUUCCCGGGUCUUGUACACACCGCCCGUCA